RNAcentral lists this long non-coding RNA (828 nucleotides) under Ornithorhynchus anatinus (platypus). RNAcentral describes it as "lncRNA (ENSOANG00000033820.2)". Lineage: Eukaryota; Metazoa; Chordata; Mammalia; Monotremata; Ornithorhynchidae. The record is from RNAcentral.
AUCAAUUUGGCUUUUGAAUGUUACCCAACAUCUAAAAUUCUGUACACAGAACUCUGUUGACUGAGUGAAAUGUUUUGUUCAGACUCCAAGGGAAAACAUUCUCAUCCUUAUGUGGAUUAGUAAUUUGCAUGAGCACCUAUAUGAUUUUAUAGAGUUAGAGAAGCAUUACUUAGAAAAAGCUGAAAAGUCUUAUGGUAUACGUAAAUUAUUCCGGUCAUUGUAAUAUGGUGAAUUAUAAGAUAGAAUAUACCCGAUGAGAGAAAGAUAAUACAUUAAAGCAGUUAUUCCAUUUGGACAUCACAACAUACCUGAGAAAUGUCAAAGUACCAAAAAAAAGAGAAAAUGUAUUCUAAUUAUGAGUGCAAUAUGGAGCUAUUAAGAUGUAAGAACGGGAUUGCCCUGUUACAAAAUAAAGUGGAAAAAGAAGAAGCUCUUAGAGAAAGGCUUCGAUCUGAAUCAACUCUUGUCCUAAAGAUUGCAGACUUUGAAAAAAUGGCGCUUGAAAAACAGUUAGGUGAAACAAACAGAUACUGCAGAACACUAUUCUCUUUCCCAGUGUUUCCGCUGCAACUCCACUUGCUCCUAGUCCCCUUCACGAUAUGUACAAAUCCCAGGAAGGCGAGGAUCAUAUGCUGAAUCUGCUGCGGGACUAUCUUGCAUCUGAUACCGAUCCCAGAGCUCAGGAUUGUCUUGGAAUCCUUCGGUUUCACUCCACAAAGUUGGUGUUUAAAUAGAGUGGAUAGAAAUAAAAUUUUAAGGAAUUUCUGUAGAAUCUUGUUUUGUUACAAAUUUCAUUUUGCAUUCUCUUGUAGAUUCUGUAUAUCCGCU